GAAUAAUGAAUAUGUCAUUGCAUAAAAAACUUAGAAAACAUAUUUUAUGGUUUAUAAUGAUCAUAUCCUACUGAAACAUAAUUACCUCAUGUAAAAAAUAUUUGUGUUGUAGACAAAAAAUAUUAAGAAUAUGUUAGAAAGAUAAUUUGUCUAUUCCUUCUCUUCAUUUUCCAGGCUAUAUGGUGUGCACUGGAUAAACGAAUGAAGCUAAGUAGAGCCCUAGCAUUUUUGCUUAACCAGUGGUUCUCUCUUAUUUACUAUGAAAACUCUCCUUGAUUUAAUAGUAAUUAAUAUCUUUUCACAUGUUGCUAAUUUUGGUGAUACGCUACUGCCCUGUUGCUAACUGCUUCAGUCUUUAGAUGUGAAAAUUACAGGGUGUGUUAAUGAUUAAUUUGGCUAAUUUUGCAACCAAAGAAAUUAAUUUAUCACUAACAUGAAUACUCAAUAAUAUACCAACGAUAACAGUUGAUAUAAGUGAUAAUAAUUUAUGUCAUUUAAUCAAAUAAUUCGUAGUUUGAAUCGUGGUUAACCCUCGGAUAUAGAAUAAUUAAAUUUGUAUCUCAAAGAUAUUCAAGUAAUAUUCUGUAGAAUCAAGAUUGAUUCGGAUUUUUAGUUUCCAAUUAAAUUUGUAUCUCAAGGAUGUGAUGUUAUGCAUUCUUGCUCAGCCAUUGUCCAAGCUAUUCAUGCAGUUCAUGAUCAUGAGGGACACAUAUCCAAGGAAUCACAUCUUUUGUGAGGCCAACUAAGUGAUGCAAUCCUUCCUAGAAAGCAAUUAGUCACAAGAACCAUGAACAAGAGGCUCCAAGAGGAUUGGGCUAGAGCUGUUGAAGAAGGUCUUAUGGUUCUCAUGAAUCUUAGGAUAGAUUUUUGAGCCCAUGGGUCAAGGUUGGGUCCAUUUGUCUUUGUAAAUAUUAGAAUAGGUUUUCCUUCUUUUGCGCCUUGUAUUUUAGUCAUUCUAGUAGUAUAGGGUUUUAGCCGUGUAUUUCAGGGCAUUUUGAGUAGUCUUUAUAGUAGGGACUUUUUUGUAUUUUCAUGUAUUUUGGCAUGGGGGUGAGCUUAGCUAUUAGAGAGGUGUGUGUAGCUAAGCUCUAGCUUCUCAAGGAAGCUUCUCAAGGAGGUGAGCUUAGCUAUUAGAGGAGUGUGUGUACAAGUUCUAGCUUUUCAAGGAAGUUUCUCAAGGAAGCUUCUCAAAGAAGCUUUCAUUUAGUUAGUGACCCCCCCCUCUCUCUUUCUCAUUCUUCUCCUCCAUUGUUGUUUCUUCAUUUUUCUCCAUGUAUCUCCUCACAUGUCUUGUGCUAAAUGUUGUUAACAUGAUUCUUUAGAAUUUCCACCGAUUAAACUUUCUAUAGAAGCUAGAUUUAAUUUUCAAUGGUUCAAAUUUCUUGUUCUUGUUCUUGAACCAUGAAUUGUGUUGAGUUUAGGUUCCUUUGAGUUUUAUUUUUCUAUUUUUGUGGCUGAAACCUAAACCAUAAAAUUCUUACAAAAACAUUAAAAUAAAACCUCAAAAAUCUAGAGUGACUUUGUUCACCUAUUGUAGUUUUGUCAUAGAAGUCAUGUCAAGUCAUGAAACUUGUCACAUAAGAUUCCUUAUGUUGUGCUGAAUUUUAUUUUUCUUAUUUUUUUUUUGUCUAACUCAUUUGUUCAUGAGUGUAUGAAAUUC
RNAcentral lists this long non-coding RNA (1660 nucleotides) under Glycine max (soybean). RNAcentral describes it as "long non-coding RNA (GMAX_LNC003924)". Lineage: Eukaryota; Viridiplantae; Streptophyta; Magnoliopsida; Fabales; Fabaceae. The record is from RNAcentral.